Mauremys reevesii (Reeves's turtle) is the source of this 777-nucleotide long non-coding RNA. RefSeq lists it as uncharacterized. NCBI's taxonomy places the organism in Eukaryota, Metazoa, Chordata, Testudines, Geoemydidae. The record is from RefSeq and is a predicted model, not a curated record. The transcript has 2 exons.
UCCUCCUGAGACACCAUGAGUGCAACAUGCUGCACCCUGAGCAGCAGCAGCAGAGGCAGCGGGUAGACAAUUGACAGUAUUGUAUUGUGGUUUUUACCCUGUACAGCUCAUCAUACACGAGGCGGAAUUUGGUAAUGUAUUUAGAACUCUCCUGAUGACCCUAUCCACUCCCUGGGCAGUGAUGCUGCAGCUUCACAGGGGAAGGUCUGCCUUUCUGGGUGCUGCUCAGAGUCCAGAGACUAGCCCUUGUAAGGGGUGUGUAAAGUGCGUGACUGUCUGUGUGUGCGGGAGUGUCCGUGUAUGUGCGUUUGCAGAGAGAAUGAGCACACCAGAGAGUGGCGACUGGGGAGCACCAAUCAAGUGCAGUGUCUGGGUUGCGUCUGCUCACUUACCCUUUAACUGUCAAUUGUUCCCCCUGAAAGAGGCCACUUCAGUGCCCAGUUUCUGAGACCCAGAUGUGAGGCAGUUGGACAGCACCUGACCAGUGUGACAGACCGAUGCCUGGCUGCAAUGGCGGGACACAGGCAACACACAAUGUACUGCCAAGCGCAGAAAGCAGAGCAAUGUGUUUCCUCUGCUCUGAGCUACAGCAGCCUGCAGCGUUAGUAUAACUGCUCAGGGCAUACGCUGCAGACUCCAGUGCAGUGUGUAAGCUGAUUGGGUCUCUUUAAGGUCGUGUUUGAUGUGCCUUUUGAAUUGUUUUGAAUUGUUUCAUUAUGAUGUACAGUGCUGGGAUAGGCGGGGGUUAAUCAAUAAAAUGUUUUAUUAUUUUUUGUA